GUGCACCAGGCGCGAAACCUCCGCAAUACACGAAAGUGUGACGGGGCCAUCCCGAGUGCCGUCCGCUGAGGACGGCUUUUCCCCAGUGUACACAGCUGGGGGAAUAAGGAGAGGGCAAGCCUGGUGUCAGCCGCCGCGGUAAUACCAGCUCUCCGAGUGGUGGGGACGCUUAUUGGGCCUAAAGCAUCCGUAGCCGGCUGGGCAAGUCCUCCGUUAAAUCCAACGAUUUAAUCGUUGGGCUGCGGGGGAUACUGUCCAGCUUGGGGGCGGGAGAGGCCGACGGUAUUCCCGGGGUAGGGGUGAAAUCCUAUAAUCCCGGGAGGACCACCAGUGGCGAAGGCUGUCGGCUAGAACGCGCCCGACGGUGAGGGAUGAAAGCUGGGGGAGCGAACCGGAUUAGAUACCCGGGUAGU
RNAcentral lists this ribosomal RNA (413 nucleotides) under uncultured microorganism. Its description in RNAcentral is "bacterial SSU rRNA". It matches the Rfam family "Archaeal small subunit ribosomal RNA", at positions 330 to 745 of the family's 1478-position model. The record is from RNAcentral.